GAUGAACGCUGGCGGCGUGCCUAAUACAUGCAAGUCGAGCGAACGGACGAGAAGCUUGCUCCUCGGAUGUUAGCUGCGGACGGGUGAGUAACACGUGGAGAACCUACCUAUAAGACUGGGAUAACUUCGGGAAACCGGAGCUAAUACCGGAUAAUAUUUUGAACCGCAUGGUUCAAAAGUGAAAGACGGUCUUGCUGUAAAUUAUAGAUGGAUCAGCUCUUCGUUAGCUAGUUGGUAAGGUAACGGCUUUACAAGGCAACGAUGCAUAGCCGAACUGAGAGGGUGAUCGGCCACCCUGGAACGGAGACACGGUCCAGACUCCGAAGGGAGGCACCAGUAGGAAACCUUCCGGAAGGGGCGAAAGGGUGACGGAGCAACGCCGCGUGAGUCAUGAAGGUCUUCGGAUCGUAAAACUCUGUUAUUAGCGAAGAACAUAUGUCUAAGUAACUGUGCACAUCUUGACGGUACCUAAUCAGAAAGCCACGGCUAACUACGUG
Molecule: ribosomal RNA, 497 nt
Filed under: uncultured bacterium
Lineage: Bacteria
Description: partial 16S ribosomal RNA
Rfam family: Bacterial small subunit ribosomal RNA
Source: RNAcentral